AGGGUUUGAUCCUGGCUCAGAACGAACGCUGGCGGCGUGGAUAAGACAUGCAAGUCGAACGGAGAAUUUGAAUAGCUUGCUAAUUAAAUUCUUAGUGGCGGACGGGUUAGUAACACGUGAGCAACCUGCCCUAAAGUGGGGGAUAGCCUUUCGAAAGGAAGAUUAAUACCGCAUGUGGCCUACGGGUCAAAGCUGCCUUCGGGUGGUGCUUUAGGAUGGGCUCGCGGCCUAUCAGCUAGUAGGUGAGGUAACGGCUCACCUAGGCGAUGACGGGUAGCUGGUCUGAGAGGACGAUCAGCAACACUGGAACUGAGACACGGUCCAGACACCUACGGGUGGCAGCAGUCGAGAAUCAUUCACAAUGGGGGCAACCCUGAUGGUGCAACGCCGCGUGGAGGAAGAAGGCCCUAGGGUCGUAAACUCCUGUCAUUUGAGAGUAAGGCUUAUGCGUUAAAAGCGUGUAAGUUUGAUAGUAUCAAAAGAGGAAGGGACGGCUAACUUCGUGCCAGCAGCCGCGGUAAUACGAAGGUCCCAAGCGUUGUUCGGAAUCACUGGGCGUAAAGCGUACGUAGGCGGUUAGGUAAGUCAGAUGUGAAAGGCAGGGGCUCAACCCCUGGACUGCAUCCGAUACUGCCUGACUAGAGUCAUGGAGAGGUAAGUGGAAUUCUUGGUGUAGCAGUGAAAUGCGUAGAUAUCAAGAGGAAGACCAAUGGCGAAAGCAACUUA
Molecule: ribosomal RNA, 726 nt
Filed under: uncultured bacterium
Lineage: Bacteria
Description: bacterial SSU rRNA
Rfam family: Bacterial small subunit ribosomal RNA
Source: RNAcentral